This 254-nucleotide ribosomal RNA is filed under the name uncultured bacterium. RNAcentral describes it as "partial 16S ribosomal RNA". It matches the Rfam family "Bacterial small subunit ribosomal RNA", at positions 524 to 776 of the family's 1533-position model. The record is from RNAcentral.
UACGUAGGUGGCAAGCGUUGUCCGGAUUUAUUGGGUUUAAAGGGUGCGUAGGCGGCUUGAUAAGUCAGUGGUGAAAGCCGAUCGCUUAACGAUCGAACUGCCAUUGAUACUGCCAGGCUUGAGUAUAGUUGAGGUAGGCGGAAUUGACAGUGUAGCGGUGAAAUGCAUAGAUAUUGUCAAGAACACCAAUUGCGAAGGCAGCUUACUAAAGUAUAACUGACGCUGAGGCAACGAAAGUGCGGGGAUCAAACAGG